Malus domestica (apple) is the source of this 635-nucleotide long non-coding RNA. RefSeq lists it as uncharacterized. Lineage: Eukaryota; Viridiplantae; Streptophyta; Magnoliopsida; Rosales; Rosaceae. The record is from RefSeq and is a predicted model, not a curated record.
AGAAGAGGGACGGCUGCUGCCUUCUCUCUUCUUUUAUCCAGAUAAAGGAAAGGAUCUGGUAAGCAGCGCAACAAUCACCCCUCCUCUCAACCUCGAACACUAUGUCCUUGCCUCGUCAACCAUCUUGAUCAUUGGAUAAAAAGUCACAAGAUGGAGAGUGCGCGUACUUAUAAUGAUUUGGCAUUCAACAUUCUAGGCUCUAGCUGAUUGUCCUCAUAUCCGUGGUAAUUUUCGAAAUGCAUAUCUUUGGAACUUUCCUCAGCCCGGUCAAUCACAACAAGUAUGGCCCAAAGAUUCUGAUGAUCUCUGUUAUCUCAUCGAUCAAAUAUAUGAAGGUCCGACGUUGGACCUCAAACAGUCGUCAACUCGUCCAAUCUUCGAGAAUGAGAGCCUUCACAUCGAGCGUUUGAGAGCCUUCGCAUAGAGCAUUUGAGUUGUUUGUUAAAUUGAAGAGCUUUCUCACAAUGUUAAAUCACUAUAAAUAAUCAAUUCUAUUUAUAGAGAUAAGGUACCUGAUGGUUAAGUCUAACUUGUAUAGAAACCAAUUUCAACCCCCAUGUACUUAACAUGAAUUGAUCCACUGUGUUUGAUCUUUGACGUGGCUUCAUCCUUGCAGUUGCAAAUUGUUCCCACCA